This 301-nucleotide unclassified non-coding RNA is filed under the name plant metagenome. RNAcentral describes it as "partial contains small subunit ribosomal RNA, internal transcribed spacer 1, and 5.8S ribosomal RNA". The record is from RNAcentral.
UUUCCGUAGGUGAACCUGCGGAAGGAUCAUUAUUGAAACUUGAAUCGUAGCAUUGAGAACUGUUGCUGGCCUGUUAAAGGGUAUGUGCACGUUCGACGUGUUGCGUCCUAUUCAUCCACCUGUGCACCUUUGUAGACUUGAUUAACUUUCGCUUUCGAGCGGUUAGAAGGGCUGCUUUCGAGCUCCCUUUGUCUAUCAAGUCUAUGUCUAUAUAAUCUCUUGUAUGUCUAGAAUGUCUUGUUUAUGGGACGCAAGUCCUUUAAAUCUUAUACAACUUUCAACAACGGAUCUCUUGGCUCUC